UUUAUAAUUCAAUAAUUAUACACAAAGUUUAAAAUUUAAUUUUCAAUCCCAAAUGUAUAAGUUUGCGAUUCAGUGCUUUAGCAUAUUGAAGAUGAUUGCCAUUUGCGAGUCUACUUCAAAAUGGUAGAACACAAAAUACGCUAACGCGAAAAAUUGUUAACCCUAAAUCAAAUUAUUAUUAUUUUAAUUCCUAAUAUAUACUUCUUAUUAAAUUUUCUUUUCAAUCAGUGUUUUGGCUUAAAAAUAAAAAAAAAUAAUCCGGUAUUUGAAUUUACAAAAUAAAAAUAAAAAAAUUAUAACAAAUGUUAAUUCAAUUAUAUUUUUUGUAAGGAUUAUUUGCAACACUAUUCAAACGCCGAUUACGUCCACAUUUUUUGGAAUUUCUUUUACACUACAGUUGGCAUAUAAUAUCUAAGGCGAAAAAGAAAUCUUCAAUUACAUACGUCAUCUACAGCAGCAAAAGCAGGAGAACAAUGUGUUUGGCGAGUUUUGUGAAAUAAUUAGGGGUUUCACAUAGUCACCAAAUUAUAAGUUAGAACGAUCCGAAAACAUAGCGUUCAGAGUUGUAUUUGCGUAAACGUAUUUUAGUAUGCAAUCAACCAGCAAAUUUUUUAAACUAUAAAAAUUUAUGAUUUUGUGGUUUUACGAUGCUUUAUGACACGU
Long non-coding RNA from Bactrocera neohumeralis, 663 nucleotides. RefSeq lists it as uncharacterized. NCBI's taxonomy places the organism in Eukaryota, Metazoa, Arthropoda, Insecta, Diptera, Tephritidae. The transcript has 3 exons. The record is from RefSeq and is a predicted model, not a curated record.